This 657-nucleotide ribosomal RNA is filed under the name Curtobacterium sp. RNAcentral describes it as "bacterial SSU rRNA". It matches the Rfam family "Bacterial small subunit ribosomal RNA", at positions 38 to 707 of the family's 1533-position model. The record is from RNAcentral. Lineage: Bacteria; Bacillati; Actinomycetota; Actinomycetes; Micrococcales; Microbacteriaceae.
GGCGGCGUGCUUAACACAUGCAAGUCGAACGAUGAUGCCCAGCUUGCUGGGUGGAUUAGUGGCGAACGGGUGAGUAACACGUGAGUAACCUGCCCCUGACUCUGGGAUAAGCGUUGGAAACGACGUCUAAUACUGGAUAUGAUCACUGGCCGCAUGGUCUGGUGGUGGAAAGAUUUUUUGGUUGGGGAUGGACUCGCGGCCUAUCAGCUUGUUGGUGAGGUAAUGGCUCACCAAGGCGACGACGGGUAGCCGGCCUGAGAGGGUGACCGGCCACACUGGGACUGAGACACGGCCCAGACUCCUACGGGAGGCAGCAGUGGGGAAUAUUGCACAAUGGGCGAAAGCCUGAUGCAGCAACGCCGCGUGAGGGAUGACGGCCUUCGGGUUGUAAACCUCUUUUAGUAGGGAAGAAGCGAAAGUGACGGUACCUGCAGAAAAAGCACCGGCUAACUACGUGCCAGCAGCCGCGGUAAUACGUAGGGUGCAAGCGUUGUCCGGAAUUAUUGGGCGUAAAGAGCUCGUAGGCGGUUUGUCGCGUCUGCUGUGAAAUCCCGAGGCUCAACCUCGGGCUUGCAGUGGGUACGGGCAGACUAGAGUGCGGUAGGGGAGAUUGGAAUUCCUGGUGUAGCGGUGGAAUGCGCAGAUAUCAGGAGGAAC